UCCCUAGCGGCUGAGGUGGUAAAGCAUCUGCCUGCAACACAGGAGACCCGGGUUCGAUCCCUGGUUUAGGAA
Molecule: transfer RNA, 72 nt
Filed under: Bos taurus (domestic cattle)
Lineage: Eukaryota; Metazoa; Chordata; Mammalia; Artiodactyla; Bovidae
Also listed under: 2 other names
Rfam family: tRNA
About the family: Transfer RNA (tRNA) molecules are approximately 80 nucleotides in length. Their secondary structure includes four short double-helical elements and three loops (D, anti-codon, and T loops).
Source: Rfam by way of RNAcentral